AGUAAAGCGGCGUACGGGUGAGUAACACGUGGGUAAUCUACCUCUUAGUGGGGAAUAACCCUGGGAAACCGGGGCUAAUACCGCAUAAGCCUGAGAAGGGAAAGCAGCAAUGCGCUGAGAGAGGAGCCCGCGGCCGAUUAGCUAGUUGGUGAGGUAAUGGCUCACCAAGGCGACGAUCGGUAGCCGGCCUGAGAGGGCACACGGCCACACUGGCACUGAAACACGGGCCAG
This 231-nucleotide ribosomal RNA is filed under the name uncultured bacterium. RNAcentral describes it as "partial 16S ribosomal RNA". It matches the Rfam family "Bacterial small subunit ribosomal RNA", at positions 89 to 334 of the family's 1533-position model. The record is from RNAcentral.